RNAcentral lists this long non-coding RNA (10923 nucleotides) under Heterocephalus glaber (naked mole-rat). Its description in RNAcentral is "lncRNA (ENSHGLG00100033175.1)". The record is from RNAcentral. Lineage: Eukaryota; Metazoa; Chordata; Mammalia; Rodentia; Bathyergidae.
AGCGAGUAGCUCUGUAAGGGAAUGGUUUUUAUUCGGAGUGAUUCAAAAGUUUGGCAUUUAACGUUUACGGAAAACAGAUCUAUCUUCUACCACUAAACUCAGGAAUUGUUGACUGGAAAUAAUCUAACUAAACCAAUUAAACACUUCAUGGAUCCUUCUCAUCAGCAAUUCAUCCGUCUUCGGGCUAUCAGGAGGGGCUCGCCCCGCGCGUGUUGCUAGGGAGCCCUGGAGUCUAACUGGUAAACACACGCAGACCGGGGGCAGAAGAAAAGCAGGCCGGCCGGGAAGCACACGGCCUCUCCCGGCCUUCUCCCGGGGUGAAAUGAAACAGGAAUGGGAGAUCAUGCUCUUCCCCGUCCUAAUUUAGCAAGCAGGAUUGUCUCACCCAGGCCCGCAGAGCGUGUGCCGCCCCAGGGCGUCCUUACACACAACAGGCUCUGGGUUGUUCAGCAGUCGCCUGCAGGCGAGGCCAAAACAGGCUGCUUCCACCUCCUUCAAAGGGCUGUGUGCUGCUCAGUGGGUUGGCAGUGUUGACUGCACCAGGCGAAGGACCUGGGCCGGGCAGACAGGGAAGUGCCUGGCACGGGCACCACGCUGGAGGGCAGGCUCUGAGGGUGGGGAGAGCAGAGCACAGAGCCCGGGGGGCACAGGCGUCGGGUGCUUCCUCACCGGCUGCCCCGGCCAGCUGUGGUCGCCCAAGCCACUCGAGCCUGGGGUGAGGAUGGGGUGCAGGCCUGGGACCUGGCUGGCUCCGGGGUCCGAGUUCCUAACCACAGCCCUCCACUGCCUCCGAGCCGGCUCCACUCCAGCGCACCACAGCUGUAAAGAAAUCCGGCUUCUUUGUCCUUAGGAGACAGAAGUAAAAUUUUCUCAUCGCACAUUGGACUGUUUAGCUCUGCAACUAGUGCUGGAGGGGUCCUCAUGGCCCACCUUUACCAUCUGGGUGUUCUUGGGUGAGUGCGUCGCUUCCGACCCUCAGGGAGGCCAGCGGGUACCGUGCAUCUUCCACGAGGCCCGUUCUCCAGGGCCAGCGAGGGUCGAAGUCUGGUGAGGGGAUUUGGGCUCUCAGGCCCGAAGGGCCCACAGCGUCACCUGCCUGGAGCGUGCACACUGCAGCCCAGAGGAGCUGGGUUCCUGAGAAGUGAGUCUCCCCAGCUCGAAGACCGGGUGGUGGCUCUCUCCCUCCUUCGUGCAGAGCUGAGCUGUUCGGGGAAAAUGGCAGAGUCGCCCGGAGAUUGGCCUGGAGUCCGAGGGAGACGCCCACCAGUGGCUCGGGUGGUGUGCGGGUCGGAGGCGGCCUCCCUGCCAGUCCCGGCACCCGCACGCUGCUCCUCUCAGCAGAGCCCAGGCUCAGGGCUGGACGGGGCCGGGGCUGCUGCUGUUCACACUGUCUGUUACUUCGCCUCUACUUACGGGAACGACUCCCACUUUCGACUUACAGGACCGAUAGGAAGCUCCCCAGGAUCUGUUCAAAUGUGGGCCUAUGGUCAGCCAGGCAAAUGGAAGCGCAAUGGUCGAAGCCAUGACAGGAGCCCUGGCCAGAGCGGACUCGGGACACUCUCAGCCAUCCAGGCGACACAGGCGCCUCUGGGCCAAGCCGCUCGGGCCUGGGGUGCUCGGAGACGUGGAGGCUGAGUCGGGCAGAGCAGCCUCGCCCGCCGCUCUCAGGCAAGGUUUGCCGGGGUGUCUGCCUCUGUCCCCUUCAAGCCCCACUUCUGGCCAGGACCAAAGGUGCCUGAAUCCCGUCCUGUCCCCAUGGACUCAGAUCGUCCCUGGUGAUGCCAGGGAGCUGGUGACUGCGGCCUGGGGAACAGGAGUGGGCCACGGAGGGGCUGGGCUCCCGGCCCGCGUCCCGAGCACCAGCGACCUCACGCUGCACCCAGCCUCAGCGUCCCUGGCAUCGCUGGACGCAGCCCCCUGGGCACUGCCCUCCCUUCGUCCUCUGCUCCCAGGCAGGCGGCUGAGGAAGGCGGGCGGCAGGGCUUUCCUGACUCGGAGGUGAGUGCAGCCGCGCGUCCCAGAGCCCGGGGUGUUCGGGGACCGCCGACGUAGGGCCAUGUGCCCACGAGGGCAACACUCAGUGGGGGCCGGAGGACGCCCCAAGAGGUGGCUCCCACAGACCGCGGGGCCCCAGGGCUGCUCUGGGGCUGGUGGCUUCUUCCCAGGCCGGGCUGGACAGCCACUGGUUCCCUCCCUGGGGACAGAGGGAACAGCCAGAAAAACAGCACCAGGAAGAGCUUGCGCAGGGCCGGGCCCUUGUGCGGAGAAAGCAGGAGAAAUGACGGGGAGCAGUCAGAGGUCAGGAAAUCAAUUUUUGUCUCCUUACAGAUCUAUCCAUGCAGAGGCUUGUAAAGGUCACGCCUGUCCUCUUAAAGAACCUCCAGGAUUUACAUCCUGCCCAGCCCUCGGCCUCCUGGAUGGUAAACAUGAAGAUCCAAUUAGUUUUCCCUAUAACUCAAAGAGAUCCAGCAACAGGGGCCUUUCCGGUUGGGAGUCGGUUUUCUUGCUCCUCGAUUCGGGGAUGAACUUUAAUCCACAUCUUAUCUCCUGCUUAAAAAUGAACAUCUCUUCUCUUCUUAUCACUGUGUUGCUCCCUUCUCACUUCCCCUCCCUCUGGAGUCUUGGCCACCUUCCUCCUUGGCAGUGACAGUGGAUUCUUCUGACCGAGUUACUCGCCGCUCUUGGUUACCUUAAGAAUUUCCCCCUGGCCGGGUCCCAGCCCUGCUCCUCCCCGGCACUGGGCAUCCGGGGCCCCACUUCUGAGUCUUUGCCGAGGAAGGGCAUGGAUUGCUGAACACCGCUCCUUUGUGGUGCAGUCCCCAGAGAUGAAGUCCCGAGCAGCCUGUCCCCAGUUCCUGGCCCCUCCCCCCCUCUGGGUUCACCAGUCCACACUGCUCUCCCCGGGUCGUGGGUGAGGUGGGCGCCCCAGUGCGAGUGCCCAGCCCCAGCCCGCAGUGCCGGGCUGCGGGUCUCAGAGUGGUCAGCUCUGGCUCCCGGCUGAGGGAAGCUUUCACCCACUUGUCCUGACGUGAGCAAUUCUGCAGGCAGGGCUGGGGGCCAGGGAGCGGUGGGCCUUCCGGGCAGGCGCUCUUCUGGUGCCUCCUUCGUUGAUUAUGGGGCCUCAGCAGGAGGCCUGGGCUCCUCAGCACAAACCUAGUCCCUGGGGCUCCCGGAAGUCACCACAGCCAGCACUUCCUGAGUGUGGGAAACACUGCACUGUACCUGGCCUCUCCCCAGGAGCUCCCACGAGCGCCUCCACCUGGAAGGGAAUCUGGGCGGGCACACGGCGUGGGACCUCUGACACGCAGCUUGCUUCCCGCUAGCUCUGAUGCAGGAGGGUGCGGAACCCCACGGCCACCUUGUGUGCUGGAGACAGGGAGGGGAGUUUCCAGUCUCCUCCUAAAAGAUUACUUGGCUUCUUCCUUGCUGUUGCCUAAGAGUCUGGAUAGGACGCACCUCAAGGCAGAAUGCCUUCAGAAGUUGCAAAGAGUGGAAAUCCUAGCUCAAGCAGCUUUCAUAGAGGAGACUUAUGUGCUCAUGUAACUACUGGUUGAAGUCUAGGCUUAGCCAGCACCUCCAUGAUGUUUCCAUGGACUCAGCUUUCUCUGGUCUUUCAGUUUGUCCUUCUGUGGUGUCAGCUUCAGACAAAGCCUGAUCUGCCUCAUGGUGGCAAAAUGGCUGCGGUGGUUCCAGGCUUCACAUUUUCAUAGUCAAAAGGAUUUGUCUUGGGUCUUUUCCACACCCAUGCAGGAAUCUAAAGAAUCUGCGUUGUCAGGAAGGCUGAGUAUGGAGUGGCUGGCCACUGGGUAAAGAAUUAAGAUCUUUGAAUUACCUCCUGUUAGAGCAGUUGAAGUGUAGGGACUUCCUCCCCGAAGUGUGAAGGUGGAACGUGCCAGUUGGUGCUGUGGCCUCAAUGACUCGGGCUUUUCUGCUCUGUGGUGCCGUUUCCUUGGUGUCACCGAUGGCGGCAGGAGUGCCGGGUGCUACCUUCUCAGUGUGGUCUGAACAGCAGGGGCAGCAAGGCUGGGAGCAGAGGGGCCUCUUCACGCACCCUGCUCUGGUCAGGGCCGGAAGCAUCCCAUUGACGCCGCCCCUCUGCCUCCUCCCCCCUGGCCUGGCCUGGGCCCGGGCGGACUGUGGAAGUGAACACCGGAAGGUCACCCAGCAGUGCCCUGCUUUACACUGCAGAGUCGAAGGCCAGCCCUGAGGGUGUUGCCAGUGUCUCAGAAGCGUGAGGAGAGCAGACCGAGUCUCCCAGCAGCUGCCUUGGGCCACUCUGUCUGGGAACACAGAGCCGAGGGCGGCCAGGCUCCAGGGGCAGCCCCGCCUGCUCCAAGCAUCGGCACAGACUGAGAAGCCCGGGUCUGUCUUGGCCUCCUGACCCUGGGAAUGUGCUGCCGACUCUUCCUUAACUUGAAGCUCUCAUUCCGUGGCAAGACUGCUUCCCCACCAGCUAACUGCUGGUCCUCAGGGCUCUGCUCAGCUCAGAGGGCCUGAGAGUGGCUGUCACUCAAUAAACCGUGCUAUCGGCCAGACAGUUUUGGCUGAACUGAAGACGGAGCAAGGAGCGCAGUGCAAGGAGGCCAGUCCACACAGGCAGCUCUGGCGUGCUCGGUUUCCUGCUAGUCCAGCGCUGGGCUCUUUGCUGCCCUUCUGACUCCCUCUGAGAAAUGAUGGAAGCAAGUUUUUCACCGCAGUUGGAAGCAGGCUCUGUGGGAAGGAAGAGGUCUCUUGGAGAAGCGGUGACAGAUGAGUCUGCUCGGAGGAAGAAGAAGCUGAGGCACUUGGGAGCCAGGGCCAUGGGCUCCGCAGUCAGUGGGCAGGGCCAGGCUUGCAGGUCAGCGCUGGCUCGAGGCUCUCAGUCGCUGUGCUUUGUCGACACACGGUUUGCGUGCACAGCGAUGGCGUGGGCCACAGGUGUCCUUCUCGGCUGCCCAGCCCUGGGUCCCACCUGGCCCUCAGUGGAGGCCCCGCCCGGCAGGCACCACUCCCUGAGCCUCUGCAGGAGCGGCCAGCAGGUGGCGCAUCCGCAACUGGCAGACAGCUCCUGGGCCACAGCAGCUGCAGCCCGGCCUUGGCCGGGCGCCCUUUCCUGGCCGUGGGGAAGGGGAGGCUCCCGUGCGUCUGUCUGUCUGUCUCGGUUCAUCUUGUAUUUGCUUGGAUCGUGAGGCCCCGCUCGGUCCCCAGGAGUAGGGGUCUUGCUCGGUUUUUGUGUGGUUAUAGCUCAGCCUCAGGCUGCUCCCUGCUGGUGAGGGCCUGGGGUGAGGCCAAGCCCCGGCGAAUGCCCCCGCUCUCCUCUCUGAGCCUCCUGUCAGCGGCGGCCGGGAGGGUGCACGCCGGCCCCCGGGCUCCGCUGCCCGGACUUGUUCCCCUCAGCCCGGGAGCCCUCUGGACCCCAAGUCUCCUGCCCUGUGGCCCUCCCUUUGGUCGAAGCAUUUCCACGCGGUAGCCUCUCCUCCUUUCGGUGAAAAACACACGGAUUGAAAUUCAUCCUUCUCGCCUUCUUUGUGGCCCUGCCCACUCGCAUCAUUGUGCAGCCGACAGACAGCAGCGCCCACCCCUCCGCCACCGUCCGCAGUCUGCCAAAAGCUGCUGCUCCCCUCGGGCCCGGGUGGGACCUAGCUGUUGGGCACCGCCUGCUCUGGGCCCGCCGCCUUUCUUCAAAGCUCGAGAAGAAGGGGUGAGAGAGGCACCGGGGUCCCCCGCGCACAGGGGAUCUGUUCCCAGACCCACGGGCAGCGCAACCCUAAGCUGCACCCCUCAGAGCCAGGUUCCCCGAAUCCUGUGCUGGGUCCCCCUUGGCCCGCGACUCCUGUGCUUUUAAGUCAUAAAGGGCUCUGUGGACACAGCACAGCAACCGUGUGGCCUCAGCCUGAUCCUGCUCGGCAGCCGGCAUCCAAGGACGAAGGAUGGGCCCUGCCAGAAUGGGGAACGGCCGAGGCCUGGGUCCUCAUCGUGUGAGCGAGCCAGGAGAGGGCAGCAUGAGCUGCUAAUUUCUAGAAUUCUCCACUGACCACUUCAAACCCUGUUUGACCUAAGGUCACCAAAACCGUGGAAAUCAAAGCCACAGGUAAGUGGGCUGUUGUGUAUUUUCCCAGAACGCACCUAUCUAUAACGCUAGAUCUGUCCUUCCUCCUUCACAGCGUGGCUGGAUGUGUCCUUGUGUCUGACACUCUCCCACUCUGCUCGAAGCCCAGGCUCCAGGACUCGUCCCGGGCAGGACCACAGACCUCGAGAGGCCCUGGCUUGGAGCUCAGCUCUGCUGUGGGCCAGGAGUCAGGCCUUGGGGACACCCAGCCCCCGAGGCCCCCGGGAGGGCUCAGCACCUCACUGGCGUGGGGUGCAGGCCCAGACUCCGAGGCCUGGAUGCUUUGCCUUCCAACUUCUGGCGCUGCUGCGUCUUGCAUUUCCAUACAUUUUUACCUGUGUGUUUCAGCUGCUGGUCAUUUUAUCGUACAUGGACUCAGUGCCCAAGGACUCUGCUGUAUUCUCAUUUCCCUUACAACAGAGCAGCCUUGCUCUGUGAUGUCCGACUCUUUCUUCUCUGAACAUCUGCAGGUUCCCGGCCACCGGGCCGGUGCGCGGGCUCAGGUGGCUCCAGCGUCCGAUCGGCCCCCAGGGCAUCUUUUGUUCUUUCUCUCUGCCGCUCAGGCGCCAGAGCAAGCGUCGCCUCUGUGAUGGGCCCGUGAUGCACAUGUCACCACAGACCUCUUGUUCUCCGAGAGCUGACGCCCCCAGAGACCGAGCCCCAGCAUCCUCUGGGGCCCAGUGUGGGAGUUCCAGUUGAGAGAAAGGAGCCGACGCCUGGCUGCUGCGCUUCAGACCCCGCCUCUUCCGCCCUGACACUCGCGCGUCUGAGCAGCCGCAAUGAAACCGCAUUCUCUGCAAUUCCGGCCCCAGAGGGGGACUCGCAGCCCAGAAGGGAGCUUCAUCAGCGCCAAGCCAAGAGCCACGCCGGAAAUGGGGUCAGCAUUUCGGCCACACUAUAAAAGCUUAAAGGAGAAGGGACAUGAAAGGCUUCGUAAAAAGCCCCUUCCGAGAUGCACAAAUAAUGCUUUUCCCUCGUCCCUGCUCCAACACCGAGCUCCAGGUCCCCUGAGUCACCAUGAUGUAUUUUCUCCAACCACCAACCAGCAUCUGAAAUGAUUCCAAGAAUCAGGCCUGAUCCCCAGCCCCAAGAAGUGCCAGCUGUUUGCUUGCAGUUGUGUUUAAAAACUGUUCCUGCCUCUCCUGUACUCUGGAGUCUCCUUGGCUGGUAGUCAGUAAACAUGAACAGAAGAAUUCGCUUAGCACAGCUCAUGACAGCUAAAUCCUGGAAGCAGCCUAAGUGUUGGUCAACAGAUCAAUGGAUAAAGAAAGCAUGGUAUUUGCACACAAUGGAGUACUACUCUGCCCCGAAGAAGGAUAAACUUGAGUCAUUUGGAGGAAAGUGGAUGAAUCUGGAGGCCAUGAUAUUAAGGGAAAUAAAUCAGACAAGCUUGAAUAUCACAUGGUUUCUUUUAUGUGAGAAAGCCAAAGUAUAAAUAAUUAUAAAAAGAAAUAAAGAUAACACCGAACAGGAAGAUAGACCUUUUGCAAAUGAGGAGGAAUCAAGAGAUGAGGAGGGAAGGGAAGGGGGCUAAAAAGAAUGAGGAGGAGUUAGGUACAUAUGCCGGCUCCCCACGAGGAAAGCGACCAUUGCGGACCAGAAACAGCUAGGAAAAGAACGUAAAAAGCAGGGUCUGCAGCAGCCCGAGAAUCAGGCCCAGAGCACCCGGCCUCAGGCUGCUCUGUGGGGCUGGGGCUGUGGAGCGGAGGCGACUGUGCUUUCCCCGCCUGCCGCUGGCCUCAGUCCUGCUGACCCCUGAGCACCUCCCUGCGCUACUGCGACACAGUGGGGCUCCGUGCGAGCCGCUGUGCUUGUGCUGCGCUCUGGCCUGGGGACACUGGCGAUCGACAGGUUGCGAGGCCUUCCUCAAGGCGGGGCUCCGACAGGGGGAGCCCUGCAGCCUGGGAGCUGGAGCGAGGCUCCCUGGGGAAGGCUGGGGGCGGCAGAGCUGGGAGCCCCUGCAUGAAGGGUCCCCUCCCGCCCGCAUUCCUCAGGCCCACACAGGCUCCUGGUCCAGUGGGUGGUGCCUGACAACCAUGAAGAGCCAGGAGGUUCCUGCAACAGAGAGCGCUGGGCAUUCCGAGGAGAGACAGGAUUCUAUGCGGUGUCAGGCUCCGAAGCCAGGCAGCCGCAGGUGUGCGUGGCCUGAAGUGCGCGGCCUCCCUGGGCAGGAGAAGCUGAGCAGACCGGACGCUGGGCUCGCGGAGAAGGUCGGAGGGAGAACAGCGGAGAACCUUACAGGCAGGGGAGGGCCCGGCCCUGCGUGCCCAGGAGGUGGGGGAGCCAUCGGGGCUCUGGGCGUGGCGGCCCUGGCGCGCAGCUGUUCUGCGAGCCUCCUCCUGCCAUGGCUCAGGCCCAGGGAGCCCGAGUGACGUUGGGAGGGCGCAGAGCUGGGCUCCAGUCUGCGGCGGAUCGCGGAGGCUGUGUGCGCAGCAGGGGUUAAAACAGCCUGGAAGCCUUCGAGAGGGUGCCCUGGACAGGGAGACCUCAGCAGGAGGAGGAGCCAGGCUCAGAAAUUAAAUCUAAAGGACCGACAGGUGUGAGGACAGAGAGCUAGGCUCCUUCUUGUCCCUGGGGUCGGGUUCUUGGCUCCGUUGGGACAGGAAUCAGGGAUCAGCACAGGCAGCUCUGCUCCGGCUUGGGGCACGAAGUCCCUCGGCCCUGAGAGUCCGCUCUCUGUGCCCUGCUUCCCCACUCACCUCUGCCAGCUAAUGCUGGGGGCCAAUGGUGCCCUGUGGGUCGCUGGCCACCUCUGGUUGAUGCCAGAGGAGCUCGCUCGCUGGGAGGCCCUGUGGCAGCCACUCCAGCCCUGAUCUGCGUGGGCUGCUGGUCUGGGGCUCUUCAGGACCAACAGCCCUGCUGUUUGCAUCCCUUUUUAAAGCUGCCAUUCUGCUCACACUGCUCGGGUGGCCUUGAGCAGAUUUACAGGACUUCUGAGUCCUCACUACAGAGAAAUAAAUCCUGACUGGAUUCAUAGGGCCCCUGGAGUGAGGUUUGUCUGAACAGGAGCCCUCUAGACCAAGGGCAAGUAGGCCUUGCGCUGCUUAUAUACAGCAGCAGGCCGCUGAUGAUUGGUCCAAACUGGCCUGAGUUCAAGCCUUCUGAUUCAAGCUCACUGAUUGGUGGGAUUUCCGUUCUGUUGCUUGGUUACAAUCACACUCACUGUAGUCAGGGCAGACAUUUCCUGGAGCAGGUGUGGAGCACCCAGGAUGCUGUGGCUGUCAUGGCAACAGUGUGGAGGAACUGGGAGACCCAAGCUGUUUGAUUGACAGCUGUUAGGUCUUGCUAAAAGUAGCAGGGCCAAAACGAGGGGCCCCAGGAGGCUGGCUGUUCAUCACACACAGCUCAGUGGGGCUUGGGGAGGUCAGGAUGCUCAGGCCACCGACACACAGGGGCGGGGUCCCUGCCGCUUCUUCAGAGAGGCCACCGUGUGGAGCAGCAGGGGCAGCGAGGGACCUGGGCGACAGCUGAGCCAGCUCCUGCCAGAGCGGCUUGGAGACCCAGGAGGACACGGAGGCAAGUUGUCCUGAGGAAAGGGAGCCAUGACUGAAGCGCGAGCCCUCCCAGGGCAGAGGGGAGCCAGGCAGGCGAGACCCCGCACUGCAGCUGCCCUCUCCUCCAGCCACCUGCUGAGCCUCGGGUUUCUAUCCUGCGAGACAGGCACUGGAGUGACGGGAGGGGAGGGGUUGGGUGUCACCUUCCCCGCCCCCCGAGGCGGGUGGGGCGGCUUCUGUCCUCGGUACCCGCUGCUCCGGCGGGCGGGCCUCCCCUCCAAACAGCCCCCUUCUCUGAGGGACGCCCCAUGCUGGGCGCCGCUGCCCGUCCAGGGCCCUCUGCAGAACGGAAGCUGUGAGCCCACUGGACAGCAGCCCCUCGCUCCCCGCGACACGGGUCUGCUCUGCGAACGAGGCUGCUCUGGGGCACACGGACCAGACAGGGCCACCUGGCCGCCUGUGCCCGGGUGUGGCAGCUCAGCUCAGGGCUUCCUUCCCCUUCCUCCUGGGUGUGCUUCCACCUCCCUGCAGACGUGAGGGCAGCCUUCGGGAGAGAGCUUGUGAUCCUGCCUCUGCGGCAUGGCCAGCAGCCCUGUGUGGGCGGAGGCUCCCGGGGAGGCUCCGGGGCUCCUGGCAGAGGAAACCCUGCUGACUCUGGACAGGAAGGGCCCUCGGCCCGGUGCCUCCCAGGUCUAGGCUUCAGAAUUUGGGUCUGUAGGUCGGUUGGAAACCCAGGCCUGGACUCCACCAAGCAGGAAGUUGGCCAGGAAGGGUCCACUCGGGGUGCAGCUGGCACACAGGUUGGAGAAAGGGUCGGGUUAGAAGAGGCUGCUGGUGGGCUGGGGAUGCAACCCCCAGAGUGUCCUCUCUGCCCCUCCCACACCCUCCUCCUCCUCAGAAGAAGAACCCAGUGUAGAGGAAGGGAAGCCCCUGGACCGGGCGAGCUCCUGACCAUCACUUACCUCCCCCUGCCGCCUCCCGGGAGGCAGCUCCGUGCUGGGCACCUGUGCCUCCUCGGUGUGUUCACAGGGUGCUGGGAGACGGUUUGCACUCACACUGCUGCCCACGUCGGGGACACCCGAGACCUGCAGCUCGUGGUGCCUGCUUUGCCAAGCAUCUCUGCCAAGCUGGGCUCUCAGGGCUGCCCUGAAAAACUCUGGACACUUCAUGGAAGUCAGUGUGGACCAGAGAAUGAGUCUCGCAGGGUCCGAGCAGGCUCUACCCUGCCCCGCAGUGGAAUUGCACCCCGGGAGUUGCUGCGAUGAGCUCAGAAUGCAAUAAAUACUGUUUGCUGAAAUUUACGGGCAUUAAUUUUUCAAGUAGCUACUAAAUUGUUAGGAC